RNAcentral lists this non-coding RNA (102 nucleotides) under Thalassionema frauenfeldii. The record is from RNAcentral. Lineage: Eukaryota; Bacillariophyta; Fragilariophyceae; Thalassionematales; Thalassionemataceae.
AAGUAUGGAAAACGAAGUUCAAUCUAUUUGUUUCGGUAGUUCUUCCAUUUUCUUUUCUCUUAUUUCUCCAAUUUCUCACCGCUACUACUUAUAAUAAGGGUA